Molecule: RNA transcript, 1718 nt
Organism: Musa acuminata subsp. malaccensis (wild Malaysian banana)
Lineage: Eukaryota; Viridiplantae; Streptophyta; Magnoliopsida; Zingiberales; Musaceae
Source: RefSeq, a predicted model, not a curated record
CCUUUCCCCUUCCGAUCUCUCAAACUCGCGCUCGUUUCCCUUCGAAUCGCUCCGCACCUACCCGUCUCUCCUCUGUUCCUCUCUCGCAUCGCUUGCUUCCGCAUCGAUCCAGGGUUAGGGUUUCCCGGUCCUUUUGGCCAUGAAUCUUCACGAUCUUAACAAGGUCUGGGAGAUCAAAGCCCUCAAGAAGCCCGGCGAGGAAGAGGCACGCCGCCUCCUCGAUCGCAUCGCCAAGCAGGUCCAGCCCAUCAUGCGCCGGCGCAAUUGGAAGGUCAAGCUCCUAUCGGAGUUCUGCCCAGCCAAUCCGGCUCUUUUGGGGUUAAAUGUUGGAGGCGGCGCCCAGGUGAAGCUUCGCCUGAGGAGGCCCAACAGGGAUUGGGAUUUCUUCCCCUUCGAGCAGGUCCUCGACACGAUGCUCCACGAGCUCUGCCACAUCGAGCACGGCCCCCACAAUGCCGCUUUCUACAAACUCUGGGAUGAGUUGCGCAAGGAAUGUGAAGAACUGGUUGCAAAGGGAAUAACUGGAACUGGGCAGGGAUUUGAUGCCCCUGGAAGACGCUUAGGUGGCUUCUCUCACCAACCACCAGUAUCAUCCCUUCGGCAGGCUGCAGUUGCUGCUGCAGCAAAACGGGCUCGUGUUGGCGCUUUGCUACCAUCUGGACCUAAAAGAUUAGGUGGAAACACUGAAAUUAUGGAUGCACUUAGUCCAAUACAAGCUGCUGCUAUGGCUGCAGAGAGAAGGAUGUAUGAUGAUAUAUGGUGUGGGUCUGUGUCAGAUGAACCCACUGGUGCUGUAGAAAGUAUCUGCGGAAUCUCUAAGUAUCCUUCAUCUACAGAACAAGGUGAUUCAUCAAGAACUUCUGAUGAUGGGGUACGAGGGGAGGACUUUGUACUAAGGGGUCCUAGUAAUAUAGAUAAGGUUGGGAGUAGCUCCCACUCUAAGUGCAAGAACCAUGAGUCUACAACUGAUUGCUUAUCUGGUGGGGCACCAGUAGCUGGUGGAUCGACAUUCCAUUACCCAAAAGAUGGUGGUGAAGAUCAAGCAAUUUGGGAAUGCAGCUUAUGCACUCUAUUCAAUCAACCAUUGGCACUAAUAUGCAAAGCUUGUGGAGCUCAAAAACCAAAAGCUAUUGGAUCUAAAUCUAAGACCUGGUCAUGCAAAUUUUGCACCCUAGAGAACAGCACUAAGCAAGACAAGUGUACAGCCUGUUGUCAGUGGAGAUAUUCAUAUGGUCCGCCGGUAUCUACCCAUGGACCCAAUUAUGGGACUUGAGUGAUAGAUGCAACUUGAUAAUGUAAAUGGUGAUCGUACUGUAUGCUUUUUGUUGAUGGAAUAUUUGGCAUGGAGUUUGGGAGCCUGAGCAAUGGGAUACCAUUUUUGUGCCUUGGGUUACUGGUCAUAGUGCUUUUGUGGUUAAAAUGUAGGUGAACAAGCCGAAUGCAGGUCAUUAUUUCGAUGGCCUACAUUGUGGCUUCAUCUCCAUGGAUAUCGAUCUGCCACAAAGCCUCCCAUCUUUUUCAGUGUUCAGUUCCAGGUGCUAUUUUCCUGACCAAAGAAUGCUUUUGCUUAUUUUACUUAAUCUGUCUUAUAGUUUUGCAAUAUAUUCCUACAUGCAAACUGUUAAUGGAAGUCCAAUCUUAUACUAUAUGGAAAUUUCAACUUGUGAUUCAUGUCAUCCUCUGAACUAGCUAAUUUGAUGUUUUAUACUCUUCAAAUA